AGGAUGAACGCUAGCGGCAGGCUUAACACAUGCAAGUCGAGGGGUAGAGGAAGCUUGCUUCCUUGAGACCGGCGCACGGGUGCGUAACGCGUAUGCAAUCUACCUUAUACAGGGGGAUAGCCCAGAGAAAUUUGGUAUUAAUACCCCAUAGUAUAAUUGAAUGGCAUCAUUUAAUUAUUAAAGUUCCAACGGUAUAAGAUGAGCAUGCGUCCCAUUAGCUAGUUGGUGUGGUAACGGCACACCAAGGCGACGAUGGGUAGGGGUCCUGAGAGGAGAUCCCCCACACUGGUACUGAGACACGGACCAGACUCCUACGGGAGGCAGCAGUGAGGAAUAUUGGUCAAUGGGCGCAAGCCUGAACCAGCCAUGCCGCGUGCAGGAUGACGGUCCUAUGGAUUGUAAACUGCUUUUGUACAGGAAGAAACACUCCCUCGUGAGGGAGCUUGACGGUACUGUAAGAAUAAGGAUCGGCUAACUCCGUG
RNAcentral lists this ribosomal RNA (482 nucleotides) under uncultured bacterium. RNAcentral describes it as "bacterial SSU rRNA". It matches the Rfam family "Bacterial small subunit ribosomal RNA", at positions 26 to 507 of the family's 1533-position model. The record is from RNAcentral.